RNAcentral lists this ribosomal RNA (407 nucleotides) under uncultured bacterium. RNAcentral describes it as "partial 16S ribosomal RNA". It matches the Rfam family "Bacterial small subunit ribosomal RNA", at positions 28 to 526 of the family's 1533-position model. The record is from RNAcentral.
GAUGAACGCUAGCGAUAGGCUUAACACAUGCAAGUCGAGGGACCGGCGCACGGGUGCGUAACGCGUAUGCACCUUGCCUCACAGAGGUGGAUAACCCGUCGAAAGACGGACUAAUACCGCGUACUGUGAGAUAGGCAUGCGUCCCAUUAGAUAGUUUGUGAGGUGACGGCUCACCAAGGCAACGAUGGGUAGGGGAACUGAGAGGUUGAACCCCCGCACUGGUAGUGAGAAGCGGACCAGACGCCUACGGGAGGCAGCAGUGAGGAAUAUUGGUCAAUGGGCGAGAGCCUGAACCAGCCAAGUCGCGUGAAGGAUGACUGUCUAUGGAUUGUAAACUUCUUUUGUAGGGGAAUAUGUACCCUACGAAUAAGCAUCGGCUAACUACGUGCCAGCAGCCGCGGUAAUAC